This 404-nucleotide ribosomal RNA is filed under the name uncultured bacterium. RNAcentral describes it as "bacterial SSU rRNA". It matches the Rfam family "Bacterial small subunit ribosomal RNA", at positions 390 to 786 of the family's 1533-position model. The record is from RNAcentral.
AGCCAUGCCGCGUGAGUGAUGAAGGCCUUCGGGUUGUAAAGCUCUUUCGGCGGGGACGAAAACGCUCGGCCUAAUACCUCGGGCGCUUGACUUUACCUACAAAAGAAGCACCGGCUAACUCCGUGCCAGCAGCCGCGGUAAUACGUAGGGUGCGAGCGUUAAUCGGAAUUACUGGGCGUAAAGCGCGCGUAAGCGGCUUGGUAAGUCUGGUGUGAAAUCCCCGGGCUCAACCUGGGAACUGCAUUCGAAACUGCCUGGCUUGAGUAUGGGAGAGGGAAGUGGAAUUUCCGGUGUAGCAGUGAAAUGCGUAAAUAUCGGAAGGAACACCAAUGGCGAAGGCGACUUCCUGGACCAAUACUGACGCUCAGGUGCGAAAGCGGGGGGGAGCAAACAGGAUUAAUACC